UACGUAGGGGGCAAGCGUUAUCCGGAUUUACUGGGUGUAAAGGGAGCGCAGACGGCAGUGCAAGUCUGGAGUGAAAGCCCGGGGCCCAACCCCGGAACUGCUCUGGAAACUGUGCGGCUAGAGUACUGGAGGGGCAGGCGGAAUUCCUAGUGUAGCGGUGAAAUGCGUAGAUAUUAGGAGGAACACCAGUGGCGAAGGCAGCUUACCAAACUAUAUCUGACGUUGAGGCACGAAAGCGUGGGUAGCAAACAGG
RNAcentral lists this ribosomal RNA (253 nucleotides) under uncultured bacterium. RNAcentral's name for it is "partial 16S ribosomal RNA". It matches the Rfam family "Bacterial small subunit ribosomal RNA", at positions 524 to 776 of the family's 1533-position model. The record is from RNAcentral.